GAACAGUCCAACCCAAGUUAUCUCCAACAGUGUAAGUAGUCGGAGAACGAGUUGGCCCUGAGACAGGCGCCGGAGAAGGUGAAGACGGCAAAGGAGCCGGAGAAGAACCCCGAGGGGGAGCGGCUGACGGCUGAGGAGCCGGAGACGAACCCGCAGCACUAACAUUUACCGCCAGUUUUUGCCCAGCACCACAAUGGCCGGAAAACCCACAGAUAAAAUAAUGACUCCCGGUCUCAUUGAGUGUAACAUUGGCA
RNAcentral lists this long non-coding RNA (254 nucleotides) under Gossypium barbadense (sea-island cotton). Its description in RNAcentral is "long non-coding RNA (GBAR_LNC013011)". Lineage: Eukaryota; Viridiplantae; Streptophyta; Magnoliopsida; Malvales; Malvaceae. The record is from RNAcentral.